CCAGAGAGAUGGAUGGUCUGAAAUUCAGGGUUCAGGGUUUUAUGUCUAUUUGAAGUUGAUAAGGAAGUUAAAUGGAAAACUUUACUUCUCCAUUGAGAGUGUUGGAGUUGAAGGUGAGGAGGGUUUUACAGUUGGAAUGGGUAUAUGGUUGAAGGGGAGGAGAUUUGAAGUUAUAUGGUUCGUCGGAAUGCGUAAGUAUAUCAAACCCACUUCGAUAUUUGUUUAAGUUUGAUAUCUGAAACACACAAUUUAGAAAUUUAUGUAUGAAAUUCAUUUUAGGGUUCAUGAAUUUGGGGGUUUUGAAUGUUAAAGCUUUAAUUUUUAAGGAAAUUUGGUUCGAUCGGUUUGGGAUUUGAUUUGUAGGGUUUCAGAGUCUGGGGGUUUUACUGUAAAAGCAUUUAACUUGGGUUUGUGGUGGUAAAAGUACAAGAUCCAAUUAGCAUCUUAAAAAUUAAACUUGUGAAUUAGGUUGAUGAAAUCAGAUGAUAAAAUUCAAUUUUGUUGACUUGUUUGCUGGUGGGUUCGAUAAAGAUAAGUCAUGUAAACUUUUUGAAUUGUAGAUUAAAGUUCUGAAGAUAGCUUUUCCUUUGUUUGAGUAAUUUGAUUACUGGGUUUCUCUUGAUGCUUUUAAGGUGGAAAAUAUAAAUGUGGGUGAUUAGAGAAAGCAUUCUGCUCUUACUCUCAACAACAGCUUGGGAUGAAGUGAUGUGUUUCCCUAAGAUACAAUUAAGGAUAAUAUGGAAAAUCUUCAGAGGUGUUUGUUGUCAAACUGGAGUCUAAAGUUUUCGUAAGGAGAUUUGGAGAUGGCCGCGUAAUGUGAUUCACUUUCAAACUUUUGGUGGUUUUUCAGACAUCUUCUCUGAGGCUAAGGAUAAGAGUAGGCCUAAUAGUCGGGAGUUGAAGCUGUUUUUUUACUUCGUCAGACUCAACUGCAGCUAUUCAUGCUUUUAUGGCAAGUAAAUUUACCUUGAUAUGGGAUUUUAAUUUUGGAAGAUCUGGAGCAAUGAAGACUGCAGUCAAAAUAACAACCUAGCACAAUUCAUAUGAGGCGCAGUAGCGAUUUCUGAAUUUGUGGAUGAUGCAGGUAACUCAGCAUGGACCAUACUGUGAGCUAAUAGGAGGCUAAAUUUAAUGAUGACCAUUUUGUUAUUGAUUAAGAGCGUCAAGUUAUGUCCGCCGACGAAAGUAGUGCAACGGAUGUUAUUCUUAACACCGAAGAAAUCAAGCAUGCAAUCUUUUGACUUGGGAGCUGACUGACAAUUGUCUAGGACCGGAUAGGUUUUCUGGAUGUUUUUACAGAUACUGCUGGGAGGCUAUUGGUCUUUAUUCCUACGAGGAGAUUUGGCUUUGCAAGAAAUCGAAUGCUUUUGAUAAUGAGACUCCGAACAAUGCACUUUUAAUACUGGUGAAUGUGAAGAAGCGAGGAUGAAGGGGUGCUGUGUGGAAUUCCUCUUAUGAUUUACAAGUUUUUAGAAAUUUUGGUUUAAAGUGUCAGAAGAUUUCAAGCACUAGAGUUGUGGAGUGCUUCAAGAGGAAGUUUUAGGUAGAAGCCGUAGUGGUGAUUUUGCUGGUACUUGUAGUUGCUGGUUAUAGCUUUUACUCCAUUUUUAUUUUUUGCUAUGGUUGAUUCACCAUUUUACGGCUAUGGCUCAUCUUCAGCAGUUUGUGAACAUGGCUGGACACCUGUAAGCAUCCUAGAGCAUCGGAUUAAAAUAGGAACCCGCCGCAGCACAUGGGGUGCUUCAGUAAAUUGUUUUCAGUAAAUGGGAAGUAAAUAACACGUGCAUGUAGGAUGGCAUUUUCAUCCGUUGAAUUUGAUGGGACACGUGUCAAGCAUUAAGUCAAAUGAUCCCCUGCACAACAACGAUGGAUGGCCGGGAUUCUGUCACGGUUUAUUUUCGAAAAAAACAAUGGUCGGCCACUGUGCUACUCUUUACCAAUCAGCUAGUAAAUUGGUGGACAAAUUAAAGAAGCUAAUAAGCUAUAAUUGUUAUAGGGCCUAUGGCCAUGGAUCCAUUAGAUGACUAGGUUUUCUCUUACAUGUAUAUAAAGAACAUUAUGUGGAUGUAAUAUAUGACGCCUCUUUAUCAAUAAGAAGUUCUUCUUCUUUAA
Papaver somniferum (opium poppy) is the source of this 2112-nucleotide long non-coding RNA. RefSeq lists it as uncharacterized. NCBI's taxonomy places the organism in Eukaryota, Viridiplantae, Streptophyta, Magnoliopsida, Ranunculales, Papaveraceae. The record is from RefSeq and is a predicted model, not a curated record. The transcript is spliced from 2 exons.